RNAcentral lists this ribosomal RNA (1503 nucleotides) under uncultured bacterium. RNAcentral describes it as "16S ribosomal RNA". It matches the Rfam family "Bacterial small subunit ribosomal RNA". The record is from RNAcentral.
UAGAGUUUGAUCAUGGCUCAGAUUGAACGCUGUCGGCAUGCUUUACACAUGCAAGUCGAACGGCAGCGGGGGCUUCGGCCUGCCGGCGAGUGGCGAACGGGUGAGUAAUGCAUCGGAACGUGCCCAUGUCGUGGGGGAUAACGUAGCGAAAGCUACGCUAAUACCGCAUACGCCCUGAGGGGGAAAGCGGGGGAUUCUUCGGAACCUCACGCGAUUGGAGCGGCCGAUGUCGGAUUAGCUAGUAGGUGAGGUAAAGGCUCACCUACGCGACGAUCCGUAUCGGGUCUGAGAGGAUGAUCCGCCACACUGGGACUGAGACACGGCCCAGACUCCUACUGGAGGCAGCAGUGGGGAAUUUUGGACAAUGGGCGCAAGCCUGAUCCAGCCAUGCCGCGUGAGUGAAGAAGGCCUUCGGGUUGUAAAGCUCUUUCGGCCGGGAAGAAAUCGUGGUCUCUAACAUACGCCAUGGAUGACGGUACCGGACUAAGAAGCACCGGCUAACUACGUGCCAGCAGCCGCGGUAAUACGUAAGGUGCGAGCGUUAAUCGGAAUUACUGGGCGUAAAGCGUGCGCAGGCGGUUUGGUAAGUCAGAUGUGAAAUCCCCGGGCUCAACCUGGGAACUGCAUUUGAGACUGCCAAGCUGGAGUUUGGCAGAGGGGGGUGGAAUUCCACGUGUAGCAGUGAAAUGCGUAGAGAUGUGGAGGAACACCGAUGGCGAAAGCAGCCCCCUGACGCAAUACUGACGCUCAUGCACGAAAGCGUGGGGAGCAAACAGGAUUAGAUACCCUGGUAGUCCACGCCCUAAACGAUGUCAACUAGGUGUUGGGAGGGUUAAACCUUUUAGUGCAGUAGUUAACGCGUGAAGUUGACCGCCUGGGGAGUACGAGCCGCAAGGCUAAAACUCAAAGGAAUUGACGGGGACCCGCACAAGCGGUGGAUGAUGUGGAUUAAUUCGAUGCAACGCGAAAAACCUUACCUACCCUUGACAUGUCAGGAAUCCUGGAGAGAUCUGGGAGUGCUCGCAAGAGAACCUGAACACAGGUGGUGCAUGGCUGUCGUCAGCUAGUGUCGUGAGAUGUUGGGUUAAGUCCCGCAACGAGCGCAACCCUUGUCAUUAAUUGCCAUCAUUCAGUUGGGCACUUUAAUGAGACUGCCGGUGACAAACCGGAGGAAGGUGGGGAUGACGUCAAGUCCUCAUGGCCCUUAUGGGUAGGGCUUCACACGUCAUACAAUGGUCGGUUCAGAGGGUUGCCAACCCGCGAGGGGGAGCCAAUCUCAGAAAGCCGAUCGUAGUCCGGAUCGCAGUCUGCAAUUCGAAUGUGUGAAGUCGGAAUCGCUAGUAAUCGCGGAUCAGCAUGUCGCGGUGAAUACGUUCCCGGGUCUUGUACACACCGCCCGUCACACCAUGGGAGCGGGUUAUGCCAGAAGUAGUUAGCCUAACCGCAAGGAGGGCGAUUACCACGGCAGGGUUCGUGACUGGGGUGAAGUGGUAACAAGGUAGC